UGAGCAAAAACAUUAGAUUACUAUUUACUAUUUAUAUAAUUGAGUUCAUUUCAUUGAGCUUGGUGCUAACAUGAUCUUUCCUCUUAUAGAGAUGUUGUCAAGCAGACCAAAUCCCUGAAUGAACUUACAUCGACUGUGAUAGCCCAACACACUCUUGUCCUGAAGGGAAUUCCUGUUUUACAUGGAUCAAGUCCAGCGAAUUCUACAGCACAGCAUUUGACGCUGUGACUGAUGGGACCAUCUCAUGUGUUGAUGUGCUCACUGUUCUUGGGGAGAUUGACGGCUAACAUCAUUUCCAGGGUCCAAGCUGCUGUCAGGUGUUAUGGUGGCACCUUAUUUCUGCUUGAUAUAAUAUA
Molecule: long non-coding RNA, 356 nt
Organism: Sardina pilchardus (European sardine)
Lineage: Eukaryota; Metazoa; Chordata; Actinopteri; Clupeiformes; Clupeidae
Exons: 3
Source: RefSeq, a predicted model, not a curated record